Molecule: ribosomal RNA, 253 nt
Filed under: uncultured bacterium
Lineage: Bacteria
Description: partial 16S ribosomal RNA
Rfam family: Bacterial small subunit ribosomal RNA
Source: RNAcentral
UACGUAGGGGGCAAGCGUUGUCCGGAUUUAUUGGGCGUAAAGAGCGUGUAGGCGGCUGGGUAGGUCCGUUGUGAAAACUCGAGGCUCAACCUUGAGACGCCGAUGGAAACCCUCCAGCUAGAGUCCGGAAGAGGAGAGUGGAAUUCCUGGUGUAGCGGUGAAAUGCGCAGAUAUCAGGAAGAACACCCGUGGCUAAGGCGGCUCUCUAGUACGGUACUGACGCUGAGACGCGAAAGCGUGGGGAGCGAACAGG